Petromyzon marinus (sea lamprey) is the source of this 250-nucleotide non-coding RNA. The record is from RefSeq and is a predicted model, not a curated record. Lineage: Eukaryota; Metazoa; Chordata; Hyperoartia; Petromyzontiformes; Petromyzontidae.
GGCCUCGGCGCAGCGCACGCCGUUGCAGCUGGGCGGCACGACUGCAAACGCAACGGGGGAAAUCCGCGAUCACGUUGCGUCCAGGUGCACGGUGCGUGGAGGUGCAUAGAGGCUGCAUGUCAAGGUGUGCCAAGAUGGGUCGAUUGGCAUGCAGCUGCAGCAAGGAGGAGAUGAGAGGCUGAGCUGAGCAAGGAAGAGCGGUGGGCGACGGCGUGCCCGGAGCUCUGCAUGCAAGCCACGCACGGAGGGG